Molecule: long non-coding RNA, 2291 nt
Organism: Pongo pygmaeus (Bornean orangutan)
Lineage: Eukaryota; Metazoa; Chordata; Mammalia; Primates; Hominidae
Exons: 3
Source: RefSeq, a predicted model, not a curated record
AGGUUGGGGUGACAACAGGAGGCCGACAGUAAGACUGGAGGUGGCAGGGAGCUCACCCAGUGAGCAGGAAACGAUGGAGAGAAGAGAACUGAAGUCACAAGGCAAACCAUCACCCUUAAAUCUGGAGACAAGAGAAACACAACAGAAGUCUCACCUGAAACAGAAGCCACUGGAACCAUAAAUUGAUGAGGACACCACUAAAUGAACCCUACGAUGUUCUCAAGAAGACACACGCUAAAAAACAAACAAACAAAAAAAAUCCCUUCAUAACUCUGGCAGAAGAAAUGAAGAAAUAAUCAUUGUGAAAUACACUCAGGUCUGUUCUCCAAGGAAAAUCACUUUCCCCGACCUUUAUCCCAACUGGAGGAAGAAAACUGUUCCCAUUUCAACCCCUUCCAGCAUUCCUGUCACAACAAAAAAUGUGGAACCUACAGAAUGAGAGAAAAUUUCUGCAGUCUAUCCAUCUGACAAAGGUCUAAUAUUCAGCAUCUAUAAGGUACUUAAAUUUACAAGAAAAAAAAACAACUCCAUUAAAAAGUAGGUGAAGGACAUGAACCCUUUACAUGAACAGAUAUACCUGCAGCCAAUAAACAUGUGAAAAACAGCUCAACAUCACUGAUCAUUACAGAAAUGUAAAUCAAAACCACAAUGAGAUACCAUCUCACACCAGUCAGAAUGGCUAUUAGUAAAAUGUCAAAAAACAAUAGAUGCUGGUGAGGUUGUGAGAAAAAGGAAAACUCUUACACUGUUGGUGGGAGUACAAAUUAGUUCAAUUAAUCUGGAAGACAGUGUGGCAAUUCCUCAAAGACCUAGGGGCAGAAAUACUAUUCAACCCAGCAAUCCCAUUACUGGCUCUAUACACACAAGAAUAGAAAUUAUCCUAUUAUAAAGACAUGUGCAGACAUAUGUUCAUUGCAGCACUAUUCACAAUAAUAAAGACAUGAACUCAACCUAAGUGCUUAUCUUCAAGGAGAACUACAAACCACUGCUCAAAAAAAAAAUCACAGAUAACACAAGCAAAUGGAAAAACAUUAUUCCAUGCUCAUGGAUAGGGAGAAUUGAUAUCACGAAAAUGGCCAUACUCCCCAAAACAAUUUAUAGAUUCAUUCAAUGCUAUCCCCAUUAAACUACCACGACAUUUUUCACAGAAUUAUAAAAAACUGUCUUAAAAUUCAUGUGGAAACAAAAAAAGCCUGAAUAGCCAAGGCAAUCAUAAGCAAAAAGAACAAAGCUGGAAGCAUCACACUACGCAAUCUCAAACUGUACUAUAGGGCUAUAGUAACCAAAACAGGGCUACAGUAAUCUAGGGUAAUAGUGGAUCUUUUGAGCAGUGGCUUGUUGUUCUCCUUGAAGACAUCCCUCCUUCACUUUCUUUGUUACCUGUAUUCCUGGGCAUUUUUUUGCGGGGGCCAUUGUGAAUGGGAGUUCAUUUGUGAUUUGGCUGUCUGCUUGCCGAGAUGGAUGAACAGACACAUUGACCAAUGAAACAGAACAGAGAAUCCAGAAAUAAGACCACACACCUACAACCAUCUGAUCUUUAACAAGCCUGACAAAAACAAGCAAUGGGAAAAGGAUUCCCUAUUUAAUAAUUGGUGCUGGGAAAACUGGCUAGCCAUAUGUAGAAUAUUGAAACUGGACCCCUUCCUUACACCAUCAGCAAAAAUCAACUCAAGAUGGAUAAAAGACUUAAAUGUAAAACCCAAAACUAUACAAACCCUAGAAGAAAAUCUAGGCAAUACCAUUCAGAACAUAGGCACAGGUAAAGAUUUCAUUACAAAAACAUCAAAAGCAAUUGCAACAAAAGCAAAAAUUGACAAAUCGAAUCUAAUUAAACUAAAGAGCUUCUGCAUAGCAAAAUAAACUACCAACAGAGUGAAAAGACAACCAUCAAGAGUGGAUAAAGAAAAUGUGGUACAUAUAUACCAUGGAAUACUAUGCAGCCAUAAAAAGGAAUGAGAUCAUAUCUUUUGCAGGGACAUGGAUGGAGCUGGAGGACAUUAUGCUUAGCAAACUAACACAGGAACAGAAAACCAGAUACUGCAUGUUCUUACUUAUAAGUGGUAGCUAAAUUACGAAAACACAUGGACACAUUGUGGGGAACAACACAUACACUGGGACCUGUUAGAGGGCAGGGAGUGGGAAGAGUGAGAGAAUCAGGAAGAAGAGCUAAUGGAAGAUGGGCUUAAUACCUGGGUGACGGGAUGAUCUGUGCAGCAAACCACCAUGGCACACAUUUACCUAUGUAACAAACCUGCACAUCCUGCACAUGUACCCCUGAACUUAAAAGUUGG